CAAUAGCGUAUACUAACGUUGUUGCAGUUAAAAAGCUCGUAGUUGGAUUUCUGACGGUGGUUGGAUUGGUGCGACCGCGUGUUGCAUCAACCAUACUAUUGUCAACACAUGCGAUGAGUUGGUGUGGUCAAUUUAGUUUGAUUCGCCAUUUAAUCGCUCGUUUACUUUGAGAAAAUUAGAGUGUUCAAAGCAGGCAUCUUGCCUUGAAUAUGUUAGCAUGGAAUAAUAGCAUAGGACUUUGGUUCUAUUUGUUGGUUGUUCGAGAACCGGAGUAAUGAUUGAUAGGGACGGUUGGGGGCAUCCGUAUUCUCAAGCGAGAGGUGAAAUUCUUGGACCUUGGGAAGACGAACAGCUGCGAAAGCGUUUGCCUAGGACGUUCUCUUUAA
This 386-nucleotide ribosomal RNA is filed under the name uncultured eukaryote. RNAcentral describes it as "partial 18S ribosomal RNA". It matches the Rfam family "Eukaryotic small subunit ribosomal RNA", at positions 592 to 976 of the family's 1831-position model. The record is from RNAcentral.